AGCGCGUUCCUCAGAGCUGCUGCACAGAGCAAAGCGUUCUCCUUUUGGAAAGCCCCAGCGCUGCUGCUGCAGCUCAAGCACUGCACAAGCUGCACCACGCUCUGCUGCAGUCAGCACUGGGGGGCUCACAACACAAGGCACCCCCAGCGAGCUCCCAAACCCUUCCAAACCAGCUGCAGCCUCAUGACAGCAGAGGAGAGAGAGAGCAGAAGCACCCUGAGACACUGCAGGUGCCACAACACACUGGCUAUGGCACAGUGGCCCAGCUGCCCCCCAGCUCCACAUGGGCACAGCAGCAGUGGAAGCAGCAUCCUCCCAGCCCCACUCUGGCUGUGCUGGGACACAGAGCAGGCACAAAUCCCCUCCCUCCAUGCCAGAAGGCCUUGCCAUGAUGAGCCAGCUGGGCAGCGAGGUGCUUUGGAGAUGGAGCAGAGCAGCAACCAGGUGCAGAGCCCAGUAACCUACCCGCCUCCGAGCCAUGGCCACCACCUCACUCGCAGCUUUUCUGAAGGCAACUCAGCCUCCCCGACACAUCCGGACCUUCCCAGCGCUGCUCCCAGCCCCACAUCCUCCGCGGCUCCACCCAGACCAGCUCCCACCCCGGCUGCACCAGCACCAGCCUGGCGGAGCCCGCUGGACCCGUCCACUCCAAGCAAACCCCAGCUGGCUGGGAAGGAGACCCACAGAGAUGGCACAGUUCCCCCUCCUGCUCUGGGUGUGAUGCCUCCACCCUCACACAGCUCUUACAUCCCCAUGGGGGACCUGGAGGCUUUCUUGCACCGCCUUUUAACAGCACCACUUGGUCAUCUUUGCGCUCACCUCGCUGGUGCAGACACUUGUAGAAGGGGGGCUGGGCACAGCUCUGCUCACCCGCCGGGAGGAGGCAAGCGAGCAGCCCGGACACGGUUCUCAUCCCAGAUGGGAACAGGACGCCCUGAGAACACGUCCUGCCUUCGCUCCUUGGGGAAGGCCGUGGAAACAGAGCACAGACGCAAAUAUCAUCAAGUUCAGCCCGAA
RNAcentral lists this long non-coding RNA (1017 nucleotides) under Anas platyrhynchos platyrhynchos (common mallard). RNAcentral describes it as "lncRNA (ENSAPLG00000017797.1)". The record is from RNAcentral. Lineage: Eukaryota; Metazoa; Chordata; Aves; Anseriformes; Anatidae.